AGUUUGAUCCUGGCUCAGAUUGAACGCUGGCGGCAGGCCUAACACAUGCAAGUCGAACGGUAACAGGAAGAAGCUUGCUUCUUUGCUGACGAGUGGCGGACGGGUGAGUAAUGUCUGGGAAACUGCCUGAUGGAGGGGGAUAACUACUGGAAACGGUAGCUAAUACCGCAUAACGUCGCAAGACCAAAGAGGGGGACCUUCGGGCCUCUUGCCAUCGGAUGUGCCCAGAUGGGAUUAGCUAGUAGGUGGGGUAACGGCUCACCUAGGCGACGAUCCCUAGCUGGUCUGAGAGGAUGACCAGCCACACUGGAACUGAGACACGGUCCAGACUCCUACGGGAGGCAGCAGUGGGGAAUAUUGCACAAUGGGCGCAAGUCGCAAGGCAAGAGGGCGACCUUCGCCUUUGCAUUGAUGCCAGUGGAUAGCUUAGGUGUAACGCUCACCUAGGCGACGAUCUAGCUGUUCGAGAGGAUGCAGCCAAUGGACUGAGACCCCGUCCCGGCUCCUACGGAGGCAGCAGUGGGGAAUAUUGCACAAUUGGCGCAAGCCUGAUGCAGCCAUGCCGCGUGUAUGAAGAAGCCUUCGGGUGUAAAGUACUUUCAGCGGGGGAGGAAGGGAGUAAAGUUAUACUUUGCUCAUUGACGUUACCCGCAGAAGAAGCACCGGCUAACUCCGUGCCAGCAGCGCGGUAAUACGGAGGGUGCAAGCGUAAUCGGAAUUACUGGGCGUAAAGCGCACGCAGGCGGUUUGUUAAGCCAGAUGUGAAAUCCCCGGGCUCAACCUGGGAACUGCAUCUGAUACUGGCAAGCUUGAGUCUCGUAGAGGGGGGUAGAAUUUCAGGUGUAGCGGUGAAAUGCGUAGAGAUCUGGAGGAAUACCGGUGGCGAAGGCGGCCCCCUGGACGAAGACUGACGCUCAGGUGCGAAAGCGUGGGGAGCAAACAGGAUUAGAUACCCUGGUAGUCCACGCCGUAAACGAUGUCGACUUGGAGGUUGUGCCCUUGAGGCGUGGCUUCCGGGGCUAACGCGUUAAGUCGACCGCCUGGGGAGCACGGCCGCAAGGUUAAAACUCAAAUGAAUUGACGGGGGCCCGCACAAGCGGUGGAGCAUGUGGUUUAAUUCGAUGCAACGCGAAGAACCUUACCUGGUCUUGACAUCCACGGAAGUUUUCAGAGAUGAGAAUGUGCCUUCGGGAACCGUGAGACAGGUGCUGCAUGGCUGUCGUCAGCUCGUGUUGUGAAAUGUUGGGUUAAGUCCCGCAACGAGCGCAACCCUUAUCCUUUGUUGCCAGCGGUCCGGCCGGGAACUCAAAGGAGACUGCCAGUGAUAAACUGGAGGAAGGUGGGGAUGACGUCAAGUCAUCAUGGCCCUUACGACCAGGGCUACACACGUGCUACAAUGGCGCAUACAAAGAGAAGCGACCUCGCGAGAGCAAGCGGACCUCAUAAAGUGCGUCGUAGUCCGGAUUGGAGUCUGCAACUCGACUCCAUGAAGUCGGAAUCGCUAGUAAUCGUGGAUCGGAAUGCCACGGUGAAUACGUUCCCGGGCCUUGUACACACCGCCCGUC
This 1565-nucleotide ribosomal RNA is filed under the name uncultured bacterium. Its description in RNAcentral is "bacterial SSU rRNA". It matches the Rfam family "Bacterial small subunit ribosomal RNA". The record is from RNAcentral.